This 398-nucleotide ribosomal RNA is filed under the name uncultured bacterium. RNAcentral's name for it is "bacterial SSU rRNA". It matches the Rfam family "Bacterial small subunit ribosomal RNA", at positions 29 to 409 of the family's 1533-position model. The record is from RNAcentral.
AACGAACGCUGGCGGCGUGCCUAACACAUGCAAGUCGUGCGAGAAAGUUCCUUCGGGAGCGAGUAAAGCGGCGCACGGGUGAGUAACACGUAGGUAACCUGCCCCCCAGUCUGGAACAACUAGAGGAAACUCUAGCUAAUGCCGGAUGAGACCACGAUCCCCUUCGGGGGGUUGCGGCCAAAAGAUGGCCUCUACUUGUAGGCUAUCGCUGAGGGAUGGGCCUGCGGCCAUUAGCUUGUUGGUGAGGUAACGGCUCACCAAGGCUGUGAUGGCUAGCUGGUCUGAGAGGAUGACCAGCCACACUGGGACUGAGACACGGCCCAGACUCCUACGGGAGGCAGCAGUGGGAAUAUUGCGCAAUGGGCGAAAGCCUGACGCAGCGACGCCGCGUGGGUGAU